GGAAGUUCUCAGGUGACACACCCCGGAAUAAGGCUCCCUGCCCUCUGGUUCCGGGUGCAUCACCCGAGAACCACA
This is a non-coding RNA of Myotis lucifugus (little brown bat), 75 nucleotides long. Lineage: Eukaryota; Metazoa; Chordata; Mammalia; Chiroptera; Vespertilionidae. The record is from Rfam.